CCUACGGGAUGCAGCAGUGGGGAAUAUUGCACAAUGGGGGCAACCCUUAUGCAGCGACGCCGCGUGAGCGAUGAAGUAUUUCGGUAUGUAAAGCUCUAUCAGCAGGGACGAAAAUGACGGUACCUGUCUAAGAAGCCCCGGCUAUCUACGUGCCAGCAGCCGCGGUAAUACGUAGGGGGCAAGCGUUAUCCGGAUUUACUGGGUGUAUAGGGAGCGUAGACGGUCCUGCAAGCCAGAUGUGAAAGCUCGGGGCUCAACCCCGGGACUGCAUUUGGAACUGUAAGGCUAGAGUGUCGGAGAGGCAGGCGGAAUUCCUAGUGUAGCGGUGAAAUGCGUAGAUAUUAGGAGGAACACCAGUGGCGAAGGCGGCCUGCUGGACGAUGACUGACGUUGAGGCUCGAAAGCGUGGGGAGCAAACAGGAUUAGAUACCCCAGUAGUC
RNAcentral lists this ribosomal RNA (440 nucleotides) under uncultured bacterium. RNAcentral describes it as "partial 16S ribosomal RNA". It matches the Rfam family "Bacterial small subunit ribosomal RNA", at positions 338 to 795 of the family's 1533-position model. The record is from RNAcentral.